Molecule: ribosomal RNA, 447 nt
Filed under: uncultured bacterium
Lineage: Bacteria
Description: bacterial SSU rRNA
Rfam family: Bacterial small subunit ribosomal RNA
Source: RNAcentral
CCAGACUCCUACGGGAGGCAGUAGUGGGGGAUAUUGGACAAUGGGGGAAACCCUGAUCCAGCGACGCCGCGUGGGUGAAGAAGUAUUUCGGUAUGUAAAGCUCUGUCAGCAGGGAAGAAAGAAAUGACGGUACCUGACCAAGAAGCCCCGGCUAACUACGUGCCAGCAGCCGCGGUAAUACGUAGGGGGCAAGCGUUAUCCGGAAUUACUGGGUGUAAAGGGGGCGUAGACGGCCAGGCAAGCCUGGAGUGAAAGCCCGGGGCCCAACCCCGGGACUGCUCUGGGAACUGUCCGGCUGGAGUGCGGGAGGGGCAGGCGGAAUUCCUGGUGUAGCGGUGAAAUGCGUAGAUAUCAGGAGGAACACCGGCGGCGAAGGCGGCCUGCUGGACCGCGACUGACGUUGAGGCUCGAAAGCGUGGGGAGCGAACAGGAUUAGAUACCCUAGUA